CUUAAGGAGAAGCUUUCUCGCCUCUCUUAAGCUGUCGAUUGUAGAGACGUCAGUCAUAAUCUCUAUAAGUCUCUAAAUUGUUUUGCACAACUUAAACACCGAAAUGUUUUGUUCUUGCUUUUUUCGUAGGUCUCUUGAAUCUUGCUUUCUUUCUUCCAACGUCAAUCUCUCAUUCUCCCUAAUUUUCGCUUCCUUACAAAUUCACGAUCUUGGAGUAGAGACAGUGGUAUGUCCAUAUUCAUUAUCUUGAAAAUUUAUCCAUCCAUAUGAUUACAAAUUCACUUAUAUCAAGUUUAAUGGGUUUUUUUUUGUUUACUUUUAUGUAUAUUAUCCCAAAUAUCCAUUGCGUGAAUGAAUUUGUGAUAUAAGUAUUUCAUUUGUAUGUAUGCAAAUAAUGAAUAAGUUUGUUACUGAACAUGCACAUUAUAUAUUCGUUGAAAUGGCUAAGUCACUAUAUUGUUUAUGAUGUAGACACUGGACAAAAGUUGGAUUGAUGCUCCCAGAUUAAGUGUGGUUUACAUGAAUGGAAUAGCUUCGUUCACUGAAUAUGCCAC
RNAcentral lists this long non-coding RNA (554 nucleotides) under Gossypium raimondii (Peruvian cotton). RNAcentral describes it as "long non-coding RNA (GRAI_LNC010116)". Lineage: Eukaryota; Viridiplantae; Streptophyta; Magnoliopsida; Malvales; Malvaceae. The record is from RNAcentral.